UUGCACGCUGGCGGCAGGCCCAACACAUGCAAGUCGAGCGGAUGAAGGGAGCUUGCUCCUGGAUUCAGCGGCGGACGGGUGCGUAAUGCCUAGGAAUCUGCCUGGUAGUGGGGGAUAACGUCCGGAAACGGGCGCUAAUACCGCAUACGUCCUGAGGGAGAAAGUGGGGGAUCUUCGGACCUCACGCUAUCAGAUGAGCCUAGGUCGGAUUAGCUAGUUGGUGGGGUAAAGGCCUACCAAGGCGACGAUCCGUAACUGGUCUGAGAGGAUGAUCAGUCACACUGGAACUGAGACACGGUCCAGACUCCUACGGGAGGCAGCAGUGGGGAAUAUUGGACAAUGGGCGAAAGCCUGAUCCAGCCAUGCCGCGUGUGUGAAGAAGGUCUUCGGAUUGUAAAGCACUUUAAGUUGGGAGGAAGGGCAGUAAGUUAAUACCUUGCUGUUUUGACGUUACCAACAGAAUAAGCACCGGCUAACUUCGUG
Molecule: ribosomal RNA, 483 nt
Filed under: uncultured bacterium
Lineage: Bacteria
Description: partial 16S ribosomal RNA
Rfam family: Bacterial small subunit ribosomal RNA
Source: RNAcentral